This 858-nucleotide ribosomal RNA is filed under the name Dendryphion sp. RNAcentral's name for it is "partial large subunit ribosomal RNA". It matches the Rfam family "Eukaryotic large subunit ribosomal RNA", at positions 42 to 918 of the family's 3401-position model. The record is from RNAcentral. Lineage: Eukaryota; Fungi; Ascomycota; Dothideomycetes; Pleosporales; Torulaceae.
AUCAUAGCGGAGGAAAAGAAACCAACAGGGAUUGCCUCAGUAACGGCGAGUGAAGCGGCAACAGCUCAAAUUUGAAAUCUGGCCCCUUCGGGGUCCGAGUUGUAAUUUGCAGAGGGUGCUUUUGGUGUUGGCCGUGGUCUAAGUUCCUUGGAACAGGACGUCACAGAGGGUGAGAAUCCCGUACGUGGCCGCCGGCCCUCGCCUUGUAAAGCCCCUUCGACGAGUCGAGUUGUUUGGGAAUGCAGCUCUAAAUGGGAGGUAAAUUUCUUCUAAAGCUAAAUACCCGCCAGAGACCGAUAGCGCACAAGUAGAGUGAUCGAAAGAUGAAAAGCACUUUGGAAAGAGAGUGAAAAAGCACGUGAAAUUGUUGAAAGGGAAGCGCUUGCGGCCAGACGUGCCCGCGGUUGUUCAUCUGGGCUCUCGCCCGGUGCACUCCUCCGCGGGCAGGCCAGCAUCAGUUUGGGCGGUCGGACAAAGGUCUCUAUCACGUACCACCCCUCGGGGUGGCCUUAUAGGGGAGACGCAACACGGCCAGCCUGGACUGAGGUUCCGCGCAUCUGCUAGGAUGCUGGCGUAAUGGCAGCAAGCGGCCCGUCUUGAAACACGGACCAAGGAGUCUAACAUCUAUGCGAGUGUUUGGGUGUCAAGCCCGAGCGCGUAAUGAAAGUGAACGGAGGUGGGAACCCCUCGGGGCGCACCAUCGACCGAUCCUGAUGUCUUCGGAUGGAUUUGAGUAAGAGCAUAGCUGUUGGGACCCGAAAGAUGGUGAACUAUGCCUGAAUAGGGUGAAGCCAGAGGAAACUCUGGUGGAGGCUCGCAGCGGUUCUGACGUGCAAAUCGAUCGUCAAAUUUGGGCAU